CCCUUAGACGUUCUGGGCCGCACGCGCGCUACACUGACCAGUGCAACAAGCAUCCGUCCUUGGCCGACAGGCCCGGGCAAUCUUUGAACGCUGGUCGUGAUGGGGAUAGACUUUUGCAAUUUUUGGUCUUCAACGAGGAAUUCCUAGUAAACGCAAGUCAUCAACUUGCAUUGAUUACGUCCCUGCCCUUUGUACACACCGCCCGUCGCACCUACCGAUUGAAUGGUCCGGUGAAGCCUCCGGAUUGGCGCGCACCUCGGUGCCGCCGAGAAGUUGGCUAAACCUUACCAUUUAGAGGAAGGUGAAGNCGUAACA
This 315-nucleotide ribosomal RNA is filed under the name uncultured eukaryote. RNAcentral describes it as "partial 18S ribosomal RNA". It matches the Rfam family "Eukaryotic small subunit ribosomal RNA", at positions 1470 to 1796 of the family's 1831-position model. The record is from RNAcentral.